This 387-nucleotide transfer-messenger RNA is filed under the name Pajaroellobacter abortibovis. RNAcentral's name for it is "Standard tmRNA". It matches the Rfam family "transfer-messenger RNA". From Rfam's summary of the family: Bacterial tmRNA, also known as 10Sa RNA or SsrA, is named for its dual tRNA and mRNA-like properties. Its role is to liberate the mRNA from a stalled ribosome. Lineage: Bacteria; Pseudomonadati; Myxococcota; Polyangiales; Polyangiaceae. The record is from Rfam by way of RNAcentral.
GGGGGCGAUUUGGAUUCGACGGAGGUAAUAGUUUUAUAGCUGCGUACCGUGGCCCGCAGGACCACGUAAAAACCCGCGGAAACCAUAACUGCGAACGAUAACGCAAGCAGCGAAUAUGCAUUCGCUGAAACAAGUGCUUUUGCGCUAGCCGCCUAAGGUUAAGUAAAAGCCGUCUUCCAGCAGUAUGUCAGCACUGACUGAAAGAUGUAUCGAGCUGACUAGCCCAAACGGGGUAACCGCAUGUACGGCGAAAUCAAACAGGUUACUCGCUCACGAAAAAGCCUGCUGACAGGCUGAUUCUGAGUUAAAUAAGUAUGUCAGCUACGUACGUAGAAGCAUAAGAUGCAUUGCUUUCGGACCUGGGUUCGAUUCCCAGCGCCUCCACUA